GACGAACGCUGGCGGCGUGCUUAACACAUGCAAGUCGAACGGAAAGGCCCUGCUUGCAGGGUACUCGAGUGGCGAACGGGUGAGUAACACGUGGGUGAUCUGCCCUGCACUUCGGGAUAAGCUUGGGAAACUGGGUCUAAUACCGGAUAGGAACCAUCUUUAGUGUGGUGGUUGGAAAGUUUUUUCGGUGUAGGAUGAGCUCGCGGCCUAUCAGCUUGUUGGUGGGGUAAUGGCCUACCAAGGCGGCGACGGGUAGCCGGCCUGAGAGGGUGUACGGCCACAUUGGGACUGAGAUACGGCCCAGACUCCUACGGGAGGCAGCAGUGGGGAAUAUUGCACAAUGGGCGCAAGCCUGAUGCAGCGACGCCGCGUGGGGGAUGAGGGCCUUCGGGUUGUAAACUCCUUUCGCUAGGGACGAAGCUUUUUGUGACGGUACCUAGAGAAGAAGCACCGGCUAACUACGUG
RNAcentral lists this ribosomal RNA (465 nucleotides) under uncultured bacterium. RNAcentral describes it as "partial 16S ribosomal RNA". It matches the Rfam family "Bacterial small subunit ribosomal RNA", at positions 28 to 507 of the family's 1533-position model. The record is from RNAcentral.